This 416-nucleotide long non-coding RNA is filed under the name Rattus norvegicus (Norway rat). Its description in RNAcentral is "long non-coding RNA NONRATT014782". The record is from RNAcentral. Lineage: Eukaryota; Metazoa; Chordata; Mammalia; Rodentia; Muridae.
GAGUGACUUUGGCAGGCGCUACUAGGGGCGGGGUCUGAUGCUCUCUCUAUCAUGUCCUGUCUCCCGCAGGCUUUAAGAUGUGUGUCAGCAGCAGCAGCAACAACCACGACGAGGCCCCCGUGCUGAACGACAAGCACCUGAGUGUGCCCAACAUCAUCAUUACACCCCCAACCCCGACGGGCAUGGGGCUUUCCCGGGAUUCCAACAGCCAAGGUGAGCCAACACCACUAUGCCAGAGCUGUUCCCGGGACUCCUGCGUCACAGCCUGAGCUGGUCCCCAUCUCCCCCUGAGCUUGUUAACGUAGGUCAACUUUGUGGCCAUUCUGCUCUGGGCCCCCUUACCACGAUGCCAGCACUGGCAAGAUGUGGCCCAUUGAGCAAUUGUCUAGGUAGUCCUUGCUGGCAGCUGGGAGGAG